UUUGUACUCCCUUCGUCCGAAAUUACUUGUCACGUAAAUAAAUGGAAAUGGAUAUAUCUAAAAUUAAAAUACAUCUAGAUACAUCUAUUUCUAUGACAAGUAUUUUUUUACGAAGGGAGUACUAA
Hordeum vulgare subsp. vulgare (domesticated barley) is the source of this 125-nucleotide non-coding RNA. NCBI's taxonomy places the organism in Eukaryota, Viridiplantae, Streptophyta, Magnoliopsida, Poales, Poaceae. The record is from Rfam.